RNAcentral lists this ribosomal RNA (420 nucleotides) under bacterium. RNAcentral's name for it is "partial 16S ribosomal RNA". It matches the Rfam family "Bacterial small subunit ribosomal RNA", at positions 355 to 776 of the family's 1533-position model. The record is from RNAcentral.
UGGGGGAUAUUGCACAAUGGGCGAAAGCCUGAUGCAGCGACGCCGCGUGGGGGAUGAAGGCUUUCGGGUUGUAAACCUCUUUCGCUAUCGAACAAGGCCCGCUUAGGGUGGGUUGAGGGUAGGUGGAGAAGAAGCGCCGGCUAACUACGUGCCGGCAGCCGCGGUAAUACGUAGGGCGCGAGCGUUGUCCGGAAUUAUUGGGCGUAAAGGGCUUGUAGGCGGCUUGUUGCGCCUGCUGUGAAAACGCGGGGCUUAACUUCGCGCGUGCAGUGGGUACGGGCAGGCUUGAGUGUGGUAGGGGUGACUGGAAUUCCAGGUGUAGCGGUGGAAUGCGCAGAUAUCUGGAGGAACACCGAUGGCGAAGGCAGGUCACUGGGUCAUUACUGACGCUGAGGAGCGAAAGCAUGGGUAGCGAACAGG